GAUAGGGAACCUUGCCCACAUGAGAGAGAGAGAGAGGAUGCAGGCAUUGUUGAAGUGUGUCAUGUUUAUGGCGGCUCUAGGCUUGAUUUUAAAUGCUUCUCUCAUGCCUACAGUGGAAUCAAGGCUUAUUUAUCAAACAUCCCCUCGGAUGGGAAAUGGAAUUUAUGAAGACUUUGGAAAUUUUGGAGCUGCCAUCCUUCAAAAGAGUCCUCAACCAAACCCGAACCAUAGUCCUCAACCAAACCCGAACCAUAUUCCUCGCAACCGCCCAUCUACUCCUCCAUCUCCUUAAGCCUUCUCCUCACCCAAAUCAUCUGAUGCUCCAUUUGGUGACGAAGCAAUAAAUUUUUAUUUUUGUCUACCUAUUAUUCCUAAUAUCUCUAUGGCAUGCGAUUAUUAUUUAUUCUAGUUGUUUUUGUUUUUAGGUUUAGGAGAAUAACCCUCUUUUCAAUU
This is a long non-coding RNA of Amborella trichopoda, 453 nucleotides long. RefSeq lists it as uncharacterized. NCBI's taxonomy places the organism in Eukaryota, Viridiplantae, Streptophyta, Magnoliopsida, Amborellales, Amborellaceae. The record is from RefSeq and is a predicted model, not a curated record.